RNAcentral lists this ribosomal RNA (966 nucleotides) under Laonice sp. D GT-2019. Its description in RNAcentral is "SSU rRNA". It matches the Rfam family "Eukaryotic small subunit ribosomal RNA", at positions 88 to 1047 of the family's 1831-position model. Lineage: Eukaryota; Metazoa; Annelida; Polychaeta; Spionida; Spionidae. The record is from RNAcentral.
CGCGAUGGCUCAUUAAAUCAGUUAUGGUUCCUUAGAGCUCCUGAUCCUACAUGGAUAACUGUAGUAAUUCUAGAGCUAAUACAUGCAACUAAGCUCCGACCUUCGGGGACGAGCGCACUUAUUAGACCAUGAUCAACCGGGGGCAACCCCGAACGACUGGUGACUCUGGAUAAACUACCGCGGAUCGCAUGGCCUCGAGCUGGCGAUUCAUCUUACAACUGUCUGACCUAUCAACUAGAAGGUAGAGUAUAUGUCUACCUUGGUGAUGACGGGUAACGGGGAAUCAGGGUUCGAUUCCGGAGAGGGAGCAUGAGAAACGGCUACCACAUCCAAGGAAGGCAGCAGGCACGCAAAUUACCCACUCCUGGCAAGGGGAGGUAGUGACGAAAAAUAACAAUACGGGACUCUUUCGAGGCCCCGUAAUUGGAAUGAGUACGAUGUAAAAUCCCUAACGAGGAACUAAUGGAGGGCAAGUCUGGUGCCAGCAGCCGCGGUAAUUCCAGCUCCAUUAGCGUAUAUUAAAGCUGUUGCAGUUAAAAAGCUCGUAGUUGGAUCUGGGGAGCAGGCUGGCGGGACCGCUUCACUGCGGAACUGCCUGUCCUGCCCUUUGCGCCGGGCUUCACAACAUGCGGGUUGCUCUUCGAUGAGUGUCUCCGCGUGGCCCGGUACUCUUACUUUGAAAAAAUUAGAGUGCUCUAAGCAGGCGGACACGCCUGAAUAAUGUUGCAUGGAAUAAUGGAACAGGACCUCGGUUCUGUGAAGUUGGUCGUCAGAACUGAAGUAAUGAUCAAUAGGGGCUGACGGGGGCAUCCGUAUUACGGGGCGAGAGGUGAAAUUCUAUGACCCUCGUAAGACGCCCAAAAGCGAAAGCAUUUGCCAAGAAUGCCUUCAUUAAUCAAGAACGAAAGUCAGAGGAUCGAAGACGAUCAGAUACCGUCGUAGUUCUGACCGUAAACGCUGGCGUCU